Molecule: ribosomal RNA, 496 nt
Filed under: uncultured bacterium
Lineage: Bacteria
Description: partial 16S ribosomal RNA
Rfam family: Bacterial small subunit ribosomal RNA
Source: RNAcentral
AUGAACGCUGGCGGCGUGCCUAAUACAUGCAAGUCGAGCGAACAGACGAGGAGCUUGCUCCUCUGACGUUAGCGGCGGACGGGUGAGUAACACGUGGAUAACCUACCUAUAAGACUGGGAUAACUUCGGGAAACCGGAGCUAAUACCGGAUAACAUGUUGAACCGCAUGGUUCAACAGUGAAAGACGGUUUUGCUGUCACUUAUAGAUGGAUCCGCGUCGCAUUAGCUAGUUGGUAAGGUAACGGCUUACCAAGGCAACGAUGCGUAGCCGACCUGAGAGGGUGAUCGGCCACACUGGAACUGAGACACGGUCCAGACUCCUACGGGAGGCAGCAGUAGGGAAUCUUCCGCAAUGGGCGAAAGCCUGACGGAGCAACGCCGCGUGAGUGAAGAAGGUCUUCGGAUCGUAAAACUCUGUUAUUAGGGAAGAACAAAUGUGUAAGUAACUAUGCACGUCUUGACGGUACCUAAUCAGAAAGCCACGGCUAACUACGUG